CGGGUAGUAUCCCUCCGGGGAACUGCACCAAAGGUCGCAUCAAAAUUUAAUUUUUAAGGAUUCCGCUUGGAGCCGGAUGGACCGAGACGGGAGG
Molecule: regulatory RNA element, 94 nt
Rfam family: pan motif
Source: Rfam